This 233-nucleotide ribosomal RNA is filed under the name uncultured bacterium. RNAcentral's name for it is "partial 16S ribosomal RNA". It matches the Rfam family "Bacterial small subunit ribosomal RNA", at positions 118 to 348 of the family's 1533-position model. The record is from RNAcentral.
UGAGGAACAUGACUUUCGGUGGGGGAGUAGCCGGCCCAACGGCCGGGUAAUACCGCGUACGACCUUCCGGGGACAUCCCUGGAUGGUGAAAGCAGCAAUGCGCCGAUGGAGUGCCUCGCGGCCUAUCAGCUAGUUGGUGAGGUAACGGCCCACCAAGGCGACGAUCCGUAGCUGGUCUGAGAGGAUGAUCAGCCACACUGGGACUGAGACACGGCCCAGACUCCUAGGGACGG